CUUUACUGUAGCCUGGUAUUGGGUUCGGGCUUUGACUGCGCAGGAUAGGUGGGAGACUGAGAAGUGUGCCUUGUGGGGCACAUAGAGCCAACGGUGAGAUACCACUCUGGUGAGGCUAGAAUUCUAACCCAAUGCCGUGACCCGGCUUGGGAACAGUUUCAGGCGGGCAGUUUGACUGGGGCGGUCGCCUCCUAAAAGGUAACGGAGGCGCGCAAAGGUGUUCUCAGGCUGGUUGGAAAUCAGCCGUAGAGUGUAAAGGCAGAAGAACGCUUGACUGUGAGAGUGACAAUUCAAGCAGGGUGGAAACACGGCCUUAGUGAUCCGACGGUAUGCGCGUGGAAGUGCCGUCGCUCAACGGAUAAAAGUUA
RNAcentral lists this ribosomal RNA (368 nucleotides) under uncultured organism. RNAcentral's name for it is "bacterial LSU rRNA". It matches the Rfam family "Bacterial large subunit ribosomal RNA", at positions 2099 to 2465 of the family's 2925-position model. The record is from RNAcentral.